RNAcentral lists this ribosomal RNA (359 nucleotides) under uncultured bacterium. RNAcentral describes it as "bacterial SSU rRNA". It matches the Rfam family "Bacterial small subunit ribosomal RNA", at positions 32 to 381 of the family's 1533-position model. The record is from RNAcentral.
AAUCAACGCUGGCGGCGUGCCUCAGACAUGCAAGUCGAACGAUUAAAGCUCUCUUCGGAGAGUGCAUAGAGUGGCGCACGGGUGAGUAACACGUAAGUAAUCUACCUUCGAGUGGGGAAUAACGUCCGGAAACGGACGCUAAUACCGCAUAAUGCAGCGGCAUCGCAAGAUGACAGUUGUUAAAGGAGCAAUUCGCUUGAAGAGGAGCUUGCGGCAGAUUAGCUAGUUGGUAAGGUAAUGGCUUACCAAGGCUACGAUCUGUAACCGGUCUAAGAGGACGGUCGGUCACACUGACACUGAAUAACGGGUCAGACUCCUACGGGAGGCAGCAGUCGGGAAUUUUGGGCAAUGGGCGAAAG